GUCUAUACUCGCGUUAACAAUUAUUUCAUAUUUUCAUUAUUACUUAAUCGAUUUACUCUAGAAUUCACUUCCAUGGAAAUGUUAGUGCUAAACUUUUUUACUAUUGUCAAAACAAUACUAUAGUUAUCGUCAGGUGCUGAUGUUAUUCAGUCGCUAAAACAAGUUUCAGAAAAAAUUUUUAACUACGAUGUCUGCUAAAAGUCAUUAUAUUGUUCUCCAUGGGGGCCUUAGCUUUAAUGACAGCUAUUUAUAUGGAUAUGAUGACAAUCUCAGUGCGAUUUUACAGCAAAAUUAUCGAAAAACAUCAUCAAUUUUUCAAAACAAACAUUGUUUGGGUCUAAAGGAGCAUCCGGCAUUGGUGUUAAAUUUUCUGGCCUCUCUCAAUUAUAAAAUUGUAAGCCAGUCUAGCCCGGGAGAACGAGCCGAUCAAGUAAUUUGGACACUAGCAAGAAACUAAUUAACACUAUUGUUGUAGAAAAUAAUUACUUUACUCACUGACGUAUGAUGGCUUUACAAUUUACGCACACAAAAGAAUUUGAUAACUUACGAUACUGAA
Molecule: long non-coding RNA, 556 nt
Organism: Microplitis mediator
Lineage: Eukaryota; Metazoa; Arthropoda; Insecta; Hymenoptera; Braconidae
Exons: 3
Source: RefSeq, a predicted model, not a curated record